RNAcentral lists this ribosomal RNA (209 nucleotides) under uncultured bacterium. RNAcentral's name for it is "partial 16S ribosomal RNA". It matches the Rfam family "Bacterial small subunit ribosomal RNA", at positions 1283 to 1500 of the family's 1533-position model. The record is from RNAcentral.
UCGUCUCAGUUCAGACUGCAGGCUGCAACUCGCCUGCACGAAGUCGGAAUUGCUAGUAAUCGCGGAUCAGAAUGCCGCGGUGAAUACGUUCCCGGGCCUUGUACACACCGCCCGUCACACCAUGGGAGCCGGGGGUGCUUGAAGUGCGUCGCCGCAAGGCGCGCCCUAGAGCAAAACCGGUGACUGGGGCUAAGUCGUAACAAGGUAUC